Molecule: long non-coding RNA, 781 nt
Filed under: Pan troglodytes (chimpanzee)
Lineage: Eukaryota; Metazoa; Chordata; Mammalia; Primates; Hominidae
Description: lincRNA
Source: RNAcentral
AAAGUGCCUGUAAAUAAACCCUGAGUGGGCAACAUGAAUGGCCGCAGACCAGACAAAAUGAGAAUCCAGUUAAACAAGUGCAUGAAACAUGCCCCUUAGUCCACCCAGCCUGCAACACAAAAGCACAGAACAGGCAGCGUCUAAACCACAGACAUUGACUUCCUUCCGUUCUGGAGGCCGGAAGUCCAAGAUGGAGGGUCCCGCAGAUUCCGUGUCUGGUCUUUUUCUACAGAAAUAUUGGCAAAAUCAUCUUCAUUGUUCAUAGAUUGUUGCAGCAGAUCCAACUGAAGGAUACACCAACCACUUUAAUCAGACACAAAAGAACAGGCUGUCCUCACCUGACCACUACCCACAACAACCGAACUUUAAUCAGACACAAAAGAACAGGCUCUCACCUGACCACCACCCACAACAACCGAAGGGCAGGGUGAGUCCAUUUAGAGUCUCGAGAAUUUCAGACGUGCAUUCACUUUAAAGCAGGGCUCAGGACCAUGACCCCAGGCUGAGGACUGAGGGUAAAGUGCCACUUGCCACAUGGGGCCUCCGGGGGGAGUCGGGAAGAAACCUGCACAAGGAUGAGGCCGUCCCCCAGCAGGACUCCAGGACUCCAUCCCCAGGACCAUGGCCACCCCAGGGCCAUGCAUGCCCAGAAACACCCUCCAUUCCCUGCAGGCAGGAACAGCAGGUGCAGCUCCUCUGCCUGCCAGCUUUGGGACCUCUAGGACUGACCGCUUCCUGUCUGGACACCAGUCCUGUAAUGCUCUCAUCCUUGCUGUCUGAG